This 434-nucleotide ribosomal RNA is filed under the name uncultured soil bacterium. RNAcentral describes it as "bacterial SSU rRNA". It matches the Rfam family "Bacterial small subunit ribosomal RNA", at positions 26 to 482 of the family's 1533-position model. The record is from RNAcentral.
AGAACGAACGCUGGCGGCAGGCUUAACACAUGCAAGUCGAACGGUUGUAGCAAUACAGCAGUGGCAGACGGGUGAGUAACACGUGGGAACCUUCCUAGGGGUACGGAACAACUCAGGGAAACUUGAGCUAAUACCGUAUACGUCCGUGAGGAGAAAGAUUUAUCGCCCCUAGACGGGCCCGCGUAGGAUUAGGUAGUUGGUGAGGUAACGGCUCACCAAGCCUACGAUCCUUAGCUGAUCUGAGAGGAUGAUCAGCCACACGUGGACUGACGACACCGGCCCAAGGACCUCCGUACGGGAGGCCGAGCAGUGGGGAAUCGUUGGACAAGUGGGCGACAAGCCCUGGAACUCCGAGCCAGUCGCCGACGUGAGUGAACGGUAAGGCCGUUACGGGUUAGUAAACGCGUUACGUUUUACCGAGGGAACGUACUAAA